AAAUUAAUAAAAUAAAAAUAAUAAAAAAAUUUUUAAUAUUGGGGGAUAUUAAAGUAUUUUUUUAAAGAAAAAAUAAAAAAUUUUAUAGUGUAUUAGUAUUGUAAAAGAAAUUUGAAAUAAGAAUGAAAAUUAAUUAAAAAAAAAGUAAAUUUAAUUUAUUGUAUCUUGUGUAUCAAAGUUUAUUAAAAAAUAUUUAAUUAAUAAUAAAAUCUCGAAUUUAAAAGAGUUAAUUAAUUAUAAAAGUUAAUGUUGAAUAAUUAUUUUUAAUAAUUAAUUGGAAAUGAAAUGUUAAUCGUUUUUAAAUAUAUCUAGUUUUUUUAGAAAAAAAUUUAAUUUUGAAUUUAAAAAAUUUUAAAUUUAAUUAAAUAAAUUUAAAAUUUUUAAAAUUAAAUAUUUUAAGGGAUAAGCUUUAAUUUAAAUAUUUAUAAUAAAAAUUUUAUUAAUAAAAUUUUUAAAAUUUAUAUUGUUUAAAAAUUAUAGUUUAUUAAAAAAAAUUUUAUAAAUAAUAAAAUUUAAAGUAAUAUUUAAUUUUAUAUAAAAAAAUAUUUUUUAAUAAAAUAAAAAUAGGAAUAAUGAUAAAAUUAGUAUAUUAAAAAUAAAAAAAUAUAAAUAUGAAUUUAAAUUGAUUUAAAGGAAUUCGGCAAAAAUUUAUAUUCACUUGUUUAUCAAAAACAUGUCUUUUAGAAAAUAAUUUAAAGUCUAAUCUGCCCACUGAUUAAAAAAAAUUGAAGGGCUGCAGUAUAUUGACUGUACAAAGGUAGCAUAAUCAUUAGUCUUUUAAUUGAAGACUUGUAUGAAAGAUUUGAUGAAAUAUAGACUGUCUCUAGAUUAUUAAUAAAAAUUAAUUUUUUAGUUAAAAAGCUAAAAUUUAUUUAAAAGACGAGAAGACCCUAUAGAGUUUUAUAAUAAUAUUAAUUAAAAUUAAGUAUAAAAUUAUAAAUUAAAAUUAUUUUUAUUAUUUUAUUGGGGUGAUAGAAAAAUUAAAUAAACUUUUUUUAAAAGAAAAUAAUAACAUAGAUAAGUGAGUUUUUGAUCCAUUUAUAAUGAUUAUAAGAAAAAAUUACCUUAGGGAUAACAGCGUAAUUUUUUUUUUUAGUACAAAUAAAAAAAAAAGGUUGCGACCCCAAUGUUGGAUUAAAAUAAAAAUUAAAUGCAAAAGUUUAAAAUUUUUGAUCUGUUCGAUCAUUAAAAUCUUACAUGAUCUGAGUUCAAACCGGUGUAAGCCAGGUUGGUUUCUAUCUUUAAGAAAUUAAAAUAUUUUAGUACGAAAGGAUCAAAUAUUUUAAAUAAUUUAAAAAUAAUGAAUAUUAUUAAAA
Molecule: ribosomal RNA, 1316 nt
Filed under: Issoria eugenia
Lineage: Eukaryota; Metazoa; Arthropoda; Insecta; Lepidoptera; Nymphalidae
Description: 16S ribosomal RNA
Source: RNAcentral